CUUUUUUACUGACUGUGCUAUUUUCUCUUCUGUGUGUGAUUUGGAAGCUCUUAUAACUUGCUUAGCCUCUUUCUGCCUAAUCUUAUAGAUCAUUUUGUCUUCCUCACUCUGGGUUUUUUUAUAAUUCCUAAAUGCUAACUUAUGUUUUUAACUAUUUUGGCCACAUCUGCGGAGUACCACAGUGGUUUCUUGAAUUUUUUGCUUUUACUGACAAGCCUAAUGCAAUUUUCUGUUGCCUUCAAUAGUGCAACUUUUAAAUAAUCCCAUU
Molecule: long non-coding RNA, 268 nt
Filed under: Pelobates cultripes (western spadefoot toad)
Lineage: Eukaryota; Metazoa; Chordata; Amphibia; Anura; Pelobatidae
Source: RNAcentral